RNAcentral lists this non-coding RNA (23 nucleotides) under Gallus gallus (chicken). RNAcentral also lists the same sequence under 11 other names. Lineage: Eukaryota; Metazoa; Chordata; Aves; Galliformes; Phasianidae. The record is from RNAcentral.
GUUGACCUCGGAUCAGGUAGGAA